AACGAACGCUGGCGGCGCGCCUAAUACAUGCAAGUCGAGCGAGAAGACGUAGCAAUACGUUUGUAAAGCGGCGAACGGGUGAGGAAUACAUGGGUAACCUACCCUCGAGUGGGGAAUAACUAGCCGAAAGGUUAGCUAAUACCGCGUACGCUCCUUGGACUUCGGUUCAGGGAGGAAAGCGAUACCGUGGGUAUCGCGCUCUUGGAUGGGCUCAUGUCCUAUCAGCUUGUUGGUGAGGAACGGCUCACCAAGGCUUCGACGGGUAGCUGGUCUGAGAGGACGAUCAGCCACACUGGCACUGCGACACGGGCCAGACUCCUACGGGAGGCAGCAGUAAGGAAUAUUGCGCAAUGGGCGAAAGCCUGACGCAGCGACGCCGCGUGGGGGAUGAAGGUCUUCGGAUUGUAAACCCCUUUCGGGAGGGAAGAUGGAACGAGCAAUCGUUCGGACGGUACCUCCAGAAGCAGCCACGGCUAACUUCGUGCCA
Molecule: ribosomal RNA, 487 nt
Filed under: uncultured bacterium
Lineage: Bacteria
Description: bacterial SSU rRNA
Rfam family: Bacterial small subunit ribosomal RNA
Source: RNAcentral